AGGACAGUCCAGUGAAUGUGUGUUUCUGACCUCCGCUGUGGGUGCCGUGUGCGUCAUCCUGCUCGUCUUCACAGUGAUGCUCAGCAUGCUGUUGUCACUCCGACAGAGCAGAGACGAAAGAGAAGCAGACGGGCGGCUGGAGAUGACUGACGAGGAGUCAGCUGAUCUUCACUACGCCGCUCUGAGAUUUCAAACUUCAGGCAGAAGAAACAUCAGCUGAUUCUUCACUUCCUGUUCUGAGUCUGGAGGUGGACUCUUAUUGGC
Molecule: long non-coding RNA, 264 nt
Organism: Sander lucioperca (pikeperch)
Lineage: Eukaryota; Metazoa; Chordata; Actinopteri; Perciformes; Percidae
Exons: 3
Source: RefSeq, a predicted model, not a curated record